UAGCAAUACAGUUGAUGGCGACCGGCAAACGGGUGCGGAACACGUACACAACCUUCCUUUUAGUGGAGAAUAGCCCAGGGAAACUUGGAUUAAUACUCCGUAACAUAUAGAAGUGGCAUCACUUCUAUAUUAUAGCAGCAAUGCGCUAGAAGAUGGGUGUGCGGCUGAUUAGAUAGUUGGCGGGGUAACGGCCCACCAAGUCGACGAUCAGUAACUGGUGUGAGAGCACGACCAGUCACACGGGCACUGAGACACGGGCCCGACUCCUACGGGAGGCAGCAGUAAGGAAUAUUGGUCAAUGGACGCAAGUCUGAACCAGCCAUGCCGCGUGGAGGAUGAAGGUCCUCUGGAUUGUAAACUUCUUUUAUUUGGGAAGAAACCCAUCUUUUCUAAGAUGGUUGACGGUACCAGAUGAAUAAGCACCGGCUAACUCCGUGCCAGCAGCCGCGGUAAUACGGAGGGUGCAAGCGUUAUCCGGAUUCACUGGGUUUAAAGGGUGCGUAGGUGGGCAAGUAAGUCAGUGGUGAAAUCUCCGGGCUUAACCCGGAAACUGCCAUUGAUACUAUUUGUCUUGAAUACUGUGGAGGUCAGCGGAAUAUGUCAUGUAGCGGUGAAAUGCUUAGAUAUGACAUAGAACACCAAUUGCGAAGGCAGCUGGCUACACAAAUAUUGACACUGAGGCACGAAAGCGUGGGGAUCAAACAGGAUUAGAUACCCUGGUAGUCCACGCCCUAAACUAUGGAUACUCGACAUUUGCGAUAAACUGCAAGUGUCUGAGCGAAAGCAUUAAGUAUCCCACCUGGGAAGUACGAUCGCAAGAUUGAAACUC
RNAcentral lists this ribosomal RNA (829 nucleotides) under uncultured Sphingobacteriales cum 'Crenotrichaceae' bacterium. Its description in RNAcentral is "bacterial SSU rRNA". It matches the Rfam family "Bacterial small subunit ribosomal RNA", at positions 74 to 902 of the family's 1533-position model. Lineage: Bacteria; Pseudomonadati; Bacteroidota; Sphingobacteriia; Sphingobacteriales. The record is from RNAcentral.